RNAcentral lists this ribosomal RNA (110 nucleotides) under Castor canadensis (American beaver). The record is from RNAcentral. Lineage: Eukaryota; Metazoa; Chordata; Mammalia; Rodentia; Castoridae.
CCAUAUCACCCUGAACACUCGUGAUCUCGUUUGAUCUCAGAAGCUAAGCAGGGUCAUGCCUGGUUAGUACUUGGAUGGGAGAAUUACUUGUAAAUUUGGAGAGAAAAUGU